This 230-nucleotide unclassified non-coding RNA is filed under the name Hevea brasiliensis (rubber tree). The record is from RNAcentral. Lineage: Eukaryota; Viridiplantae; Streptophyta; Magnoliopsida; Malpighiales; Euphorbiaceae.
AAAGGAAAAGCAGAAGAAACUGGCAUUCAUUGGGUAAAGGAGAUGUUACCAAAGCUAAUUGAGGGAUUGUUCUAGGAAGUCUUAGCUAAAUAUGCAUCCCAUCCUUGCAAGCGAUACUCUCGGGCUGCAUCGGUAGGAUUUGCUGCCUUUAUUAUCCCACGCCCCACUAUUAUGAUAUCACUCCCUCUGUCGUAUACUACAGAAUAUGGGGUAUUGUAUUGCUGUCCAAG